CUCACCGCAGUACGGGCAAUCGUAGGGCUGGCCACUGCGCUCUCCACCCACCGGGCUGGAGAAGGGACGGUCGUCGGCGUGCACCCGCUGGUGGGACAGCAGCUUGGAGGAUCAGGUGAAGCCUUUGCCGCACAGGGCACAGGUGAACGGGCGCUCGCCGGUGUGGGUGCGCUGGUGGGACAGCAGGAUGUUGGACUCGGUGAAGCCCUCGCCGCACUGGGCGCAGGUGUAGGGCCGCGCCCCCGUGUGUGUACGCUGGUGGGACACCAGGUUGCUGGAGCGGAUGAAGCCCUCGCCGCAGUUGCUGCAGAUGUAGGGCCGCUCAGCGGAGUGCACGCGCCUGUGCACCUUCAGGCCCGGUGACGAC
Amblyraja radiata (thorny skate) is the source of this 367-nucleotide long non-coding RNA. RefSeq lists it as uncharacterized. The transcript is spliced from 3 exons. The record is from RefSeq and is a predicted model, not a curated record. Lineage: Eukaryota; Metazoa; Chordata; Chondrichthyes; Rajiformes; Rajidae.